UACAGAGGGUGCAAGCGUUGCUCGGAAUCAUUGGGCGUAAAGCGCACGUAGGCGGUUCGUUAUGUCGGAUGUGAAAGCCCUUGGCUUAACCGAGGAAGUGCAUCCGAAACUGGCGAGCUAGAGUACUAAAGAGGAUCGCGGAAUUCCCGGUGUAGAGGUGAAAUUCGUAGAUAUCGGGAGGAACACCGGUGGCGAAGGCGGCGAUCUGGGUAGAUACUGACGCUGAGGUGCGAAAGCGUGGGGAGCGAACAGG
This 253-nucleotide ribosomal RNA is filed under the name uncultured bacterium. Its description in RNAcentral is "partial 16S ribosomal RNA". It matches the Rfam family "Bacterial small subunit ribosomal RNA", at positions 524 to 776 of the family's 1533-position model. The record is from RNAcentral.